GACGAACGCUGGCGGCGUGCUUAACACAUGCAAGUCGAACGGAAAGGCCCUGCUUUUGUGGGGUGCUCGAGUGGCGAACGGGUGAGUAACACGUGAGUAACCUGCCCUUGACUUUGGGAUAACUUCAGGAAACUGGGGCUAAUACCGGAUAGGAGCUCCUGCUGCAUGGUGGGGGUUGGAAAGUUUCGGCGGUUGGGGAUGGACUCGCGGCUUAUCAGCUUGUUGGUGGGGUAGUGGCUUACCAAGGCUUUGACGGGUAGCCGGCCUGAGAGGGGGACCGGCCACAUUGGGCCUGAGAUACGGCCCAGACUCCUACGUGAGGCAACAGUGGGGAGUAUUGCACAAUGGGGGGAAGUCUGAUGCGACAACGCCGCGUGCGGGAUGCCGUCCUUCGGGUUGUAAACCACUUUCGCCUGUGACGAAGCGUGAUUGACGGUACUGGGUAAGGAAGCCCCGGCUAACUACGUG
Molecule: ribosomal RNA, 468 nt
Filed under: uncultured bacterium
Lineage: Bacteria
Description: partial 16S ribosomal RNA
Rfam family: Bacterial small subunit ribosomal RNA
Source: RNAcentral